RNAcentral lists this ribosomal RNA (335 nucleotides) under Escherichia coli. Its description in RNAcentral is "bacterial LSU rRNA". It matches the Rfam family "Bacterial large subunit ribosomal RNA", at positions 1 to 363 of the family's 2925-position model. Lineage: Bacteria; Pseudomonadati; Pseudomonadota; Gammaproteobacteria; Enterobacterales; Enterobacteriaceae. The record is from RNAcentral. RNAcentral also lists the same sequence under 2 other names.
GGGUUGUGAGGUUAAGCGACUAAGCGUACACGGUGGAUGCCCUGGCAGUCAGAGGCGAUGAAGGACGUGCUAAUCUGCGAUAAGCGUCGGUAAGGUGAUAUGAACCGUUAUAACCGGCGAUUUCCGAAUGGGGAAACCCAGUGUGAUUCGUCACACUAUCAUUAACUGAAUCCAUAGGUUAAUGAGGCGAACCGGGGGAACUGAAACAUCUAAGUACCCCGAGGAAAAGAAAUCAACCGAGAUUCCCCCAGUAGCGGCGAGCGAACGGGGAGCAGCCCAGAGCCUGAAUCAGUGUGUGUGUUAGUGGAAGCGUCUGGAAAGGCGCGCGAUACAGG